GAUGAAGAACGUAGUGAAACGCGAUAAGUAAUGUGAAUUGCAGAAUCCAGUGAAUCAUCGAAUCUUUGAACGCACAUUGCGCCCGCCAGCAUUCUGGCGGGCAUGCCUGUUCGAGCGUCAUUUCAACCCUCGACCUCCCCUUGGGGAGGUCGGCGUUGGGGACCGACAGCACACCGCCGGCCCUGAAAUGGAGUGGCGGCCCGUCCGCGGCGACCUCUGCGCAGUAAUACAGCUCGCACCGGGACCCCGACGCGGCCACGCCGUAAAACACCCAACUUCUGAACGUUGACCUCGAAUCAGGUAGGACUACCCGCUGAACUUAAGCAUAUCAAUAAGCGGAGGA
RNAcentral lists this unclassified non-coding RNA (343 nucleotides) under soil metagenome. Its description in RNAcentral is "partial contains 5.8S ribosomal RNA, internal transcribed spacer 2, and large subunit ribosomal RNA". The stretch from base 1 to 120 matches the Rfam family "5.8S ribosomal RNA", at positions 35 to 154 of the family's 154-position model. The record is from RNAcentral.